GAUGAACGCUGGCGGCGUGCCUAAUACAUGCAGGUCGAGCGAACAGACGAGGAGCUUGCUCCUCUGACGUUAGCGGCGGACGGGUGAGUAACACGUGGAUAACCUACCUAUAAGACUGGGAUAACUUCGGGAAACCGGAGCUAAUACCGGAUAAUAUAUUGAACCGCAUGGUUCAAUAGUGAAAGACGGUUUUGCUGUCACUUAUAGAUGGAUCCGCGCCGCAUUAGCUAGUUGGUAAGGUAACGGCUUACCAAGGCAACGAUGCGUAGCCGACCUGAGAGUGUGAUCGGCCACACUGGAACUGAGACACGGUCCAGACUCCUACGGGAGGCAGCAGUAGGGAAUCUUCCGCAAUGGGCGAAAGCCUGACGGAGCAACGCCGCGUGAGUGAUGAAGGUCUUCGGAUCGUAAAACUCUGUUAUUAGGGAAGAACAAAUGUGUAAGUAACUAUGCACGUCUUGACGGUACCUAAUCAGAAAGCCACGGCUAACUACGUG
RNAcentral lists this ribosomal RNA (497 nucleotides) under uncultured bacterium. RNAcentral's name for it is "partial 16S ribosomal RNA". It matches the Rfam family "Bacterial small subunit ribosomal RNA", at positions 28 to 507 of the family's 1533-position model. The record is from RNAcentral.